GAUGAACGCUGGCGGCGUGCCUAAUACAUGCAAGUCGAGCGAACGGAGGAGAAGCUUGCUUCUCUGAUGUUAGCGGCGGACGGGUGAGUAACACGUGGAUAACCUACCUAUAAGACUGGGAUAACUUCGGGAAACCGGAGCUAAUACCGGAUAAUAUUUUGAACCGCAUGGUUCAAAAGUGAAAGACGGUCUUGCUGUCACUUAUAGAUGGAUCCGCGCUGCAUUAGCUAGUUGGUAAGGUAACGGCUUACCAAGGCAACGAUGCAUAGCCGACCUGAGAGGGUGAUCGGCCACACUGGAACUGAGACACGGUCCAGACUCCUACGGGAGGCAGCAGUAGGGAAUCUUCCGCAAUGGGCGAAAGCCUGACGGAGCAACGCCGCGUGAGUGAUGAAGGUCUUCGGAUCGUAAAGCUCUGUUAUUAGGGAAGAACAUAUGUGUAAGUAACUGUGCACAUCUUGACGGUACCUAAUCAGAAAGCCACGGCUAACUACGUG
Molecule: ribosomal RNA, 497 nt
Filed under: uncultured bacterium
Lineage: Bacteria
Description: partial 16S ribosomal RNA
Rfam family: Bacterial small subunit ribosomal RNA
Source: RNAcentral